AUACGGAAGAUGCGAGCGUUAUCCGGAUUUAUUGGGUUUAAAGGGUGCGUAGGCUGUGCGUUAAGUCAGGGGUGAAAUGCCGUCGCUCAACGACGGAGCUGCCCUUGAUACUGGCGUGCUGGAGUACGGAUGCCGUUGGAGGAAUGAGUGGUGUAGCGGUGAAAUGCUUAGAUAUCACUCAGAACACCGAUUGCGAAGGCAUCUGACGAAUCCGUCACUGACGCUGAGGCACGAAAGCGUGGGGAUAGAACAGGAUUAGAUACCCUGGUACUCCACGCCGUAAACGAUGAUGACUAACCGUCGGCGAUAGGCAGCCGGUGGCCAAGCGAAAGCGAUAAGUCAUCCACCUGGGGAGUACGUCGGCAACGAUGAAACUCAAAGGAAUUGACGGGG
This 393-nucleotide ribosomal RNA is filed under the name uncultured bacterium. RNAcentral's name for it is "partial 16S ribosomal RNA". It matches the Rfam family "Bacterial small subunit ribosomal RNA", at positions 523 to 918 of the family's 1533-position model. The record is from RNAcentral.